GAUGAAGAACGUAGCGAAAUGCGAUAAGUAGUGUGAAUUGCAGAAUUCAGUGAAUCAUCGAAUCUUUGAACGCACAUUGCGCCCUUUGGUAUUCCAAAGGGCAUGCCUGUUCGAGCGUCAUUUGUACCCUCAAGCUUUGCUUGGUGUUGGGCGUCUUGUCUCUAGCUUUGCUGGAGACUCGCCUUAAAGUAAUUGGCAGCCGGCCUACUGGUUUCGGAGCGCAGCACAAGUCGCACUCUCUAUCAGCAAAGGUCUAGCAUCCAUUAAGCCUUUUUUCAACUUUUGACCUCGGAUCAGGUAGGGAUACCCGCUGAACUUAAGCAUAUCAAUAAGCGGAGGA
This 340-nucleotide unclassified non-coding RNA is filed under the name soil metagenome. Its description in RNAcentral is "partial contains 5.8S ribosomal RNA, internal transcribed spacer 2, and large subunit ribosomal RNA". The stretch from base 1 to 120 matches the Rfam family "5.8S ribosomal RNA", at positions 35 to 154 of the family's 154-position model. The record is from RNAcentral.